Molecule: non-coding RNA, 308 nt
Organism: Paramuricea clavata
Lineage: Eukaryota; Metazoa; Cnidaria; Anthozoa; Malacalcyonacea; Plexauridae
Source: the annotation of a GenBank genome assembly
ACAGCGUUCUUAUUCAUGUUUAGGAUGUACAAUUUUGUAAAAGCCUUUCUCUGGUCGACAUCGCUUCGAGACAGUCGCUAUAUGUGUUCAGUAAUAUAUGAUACUAUGAUUACGCAAGUAAAAUGACACCAAGUGGCAAGUGCGCUUGCGCAAACUCGUUUGAGCAAAUGUCGCUCGCAAUAGGCUUAUCUUUUGGCAUGGACGAUUCAAGAUUGCCGAUAUUUUGGCUUUGAACGCAUUUUACUUUAAAAAAAGGUCGGUUACCCCCAUUUUUUAUUUCAGAAAACAUUUUCUUAUAGUGCAAUGCA